GCGUUGUUCGGAGUUACUGGGCGUAAAGAGUGUGUAGGUGGUUUUCUAAGUUUGGUGUGAAAUCUCCCGGCUCAACUGGGAGGGUGCGCCGAAAACUGGAAGGCUUGAGUAUGGGAGAGGAAAGCGGAAUUCCUGGUGUAGCGGUGAAAUGCGUAGAUAUCAGGAGGAACACCUGCGGUGUAGACGGCUUUCUGGACCAUUACUGACACUGAGACACGAAAGCGUG
RNAcentral lists this ribosomal RNA (226 nucleotides) under uncultured bacterium. Its description in RNAcentral is "partial 16S ribosomal RNA". It matches the Rfam family "Bacterial small subunit ribosomal RNA", at positions 538 to 763 of the family's 1533-position model. The record is from RNAcentral.